Molecule: ribosomal RNA, 253 nt
Filed under: uncultured bacterium
Lineage: Bacteria
Description: partial 16S ribosomal RNA
Rfam family: Bacterial small subunit ribosomal RNA
Source: RNAcentral
UACAGAGGUCCCAAGCGUUGUUCGGAUUCAUUGGGCGUAAAGGGUGUGUAGGUGGCGCCGUAAGUCGGGUGUGAAAUUUCGGAGCUUAACUCCGAAACUGCAUUCGAUACUGCGGUGCUUGAGGACUGGAGAGGAGACUGGAAUUCAUGGUGUAGCAGUGAAAUGCGUAGAGAUCAUGAGGAAGACCAGUGGCGAAGGCGGGUCUCUGGGCCGAUACUGACGCUGAGGAGCGAAAGCGUGGGGAGCGAACAGG